Molecule: ribosomal RNA, 1372 nt
Filed under: uncultured bacterium
Lineage: Bacteria
Description: bacterial SSU rRNA
Rfam family: Bacterial small subunit ribosomal RNA
Source: RNAcentral
GAUGAACGCUGGCGGCGUGCCUAAUACAUGCAAGUCGAGCGAACGGACGAGAAGCUUGCUUCUCUGAUGUUAGCGGCGGACGGGUGAGUAACACGUGGAUAACCUACCUAUAAGACUGGGAUAACUUCGGGAAACCGGAGCUAAUACCGGAUAAUAUUUUGAACCGCAUGGUUCAAAAGUGAAAGACGGUCUUGCUGUCACUUAUAGAUGGAUCCGCGCUGCAUUGGCUAGUUGGUAAGGUAACGGCUUACCAAGGCAACGAUGCAUAGCCGACCUGAGAGGGUGAUCGGCCACACUGGAACUGAGACACGGUCCAGACUCCUACGGGAGGCAGCAGUAGGGAAUCUUCCGCAAUGGGCGAAAGCCUGACGGAGCAACGCCGCGUGAGUGAUGAAGGUCUUCGGAUCGUAAAACUCUGUUAUUAGGGAAAAACAUAUGUGUAAGUAACUGUGCACAUCUUGACGGUACCUAAUCAGAAAGCCACGGCUAACUACGUGCCAGCAGCCGCGGUAAUACGUAGGUGGCAAGCGUUAUCCGGAAUUAUUGGGCGUAAAGCGCGCGUAGGCGGUUUUUUAAGUCUGAUGUGAAAGCCCACGGCUCAACCGUGGAGGGUCAUUGGAAACUGGAAAACUUGAGUGCAGAAGAGGAAAGUGGAAUUCCAUGUGUAGCGGUGAAAUGCGCAGAGAUAUGGAGGAACACCAGUGGCGAAGGCGACUUUCUGGUCUGUAACUGACGCUGAUGUGCGAAAGCGUGGGGAUCAAACAGGAUUAGAUACCCUGGUAGUCCACGCCGUAAACGAUGAGUGCUAAGUGUUAGGGGGUUUCCGCCCCUUAGUGCUGCAGCUAACGCAUUAAGCACUCCGCCUGGGGAGUACGACCGCAAGGUUGAAACUCAAAGGAAUUGACGGGGACCCGCACAAGCGGUGGAGCAUGUGGUUUAAUUCGAAGCAACGCGAAGAACCUUACCAAAUCUUGACAUCCUUUGACAACUCUAGAGAUAGAGCUUUCCCCUUCGGGGGACAAAGUGACAGGUGGUGCAUGGUUGUCGUCAGCUCGUGUCGUGAGAUGUUGGGUUAAGUCCCGCAACGAGCGCAACCCUUAAGCUUAGUUGCCAUCAUUAAGUUGGGCACUCUAAGUUGACUGCCGGUGACAAACCGGAGGAAGGUGGGGAUGACGUCAAAUCAUCAUGCCCCUUAUGAUUUGGGCUACACACGUGCUACAAUGGACAAUACAAAGGGCAGCGAAACCGCGAGGUCAAGCAAAUCCCAUAAAGUUGUUCUCAGUUCGGAUUGUAGUCUGCAACUCGACUACAUGAAGCUGGAAUCGCUAGUAAUCGUAGAUCAGCAUGCUACGGUGAAUACGUUCCCGGGUCU